Long non-coding RNA from Pan troglodytes (chimpanzee), 458 nucleotides. RefSeq lists it as uncharacterized. The transcript is spliced from 2 exons. The record is from RefSeq and is a predicted model, not a curated record. NCBI's taxonomy places the organism in Eukaryota, Metazoa, Chordata, Mammalia, Primates, Hominidae.
CUGUGACCUCAGCCUCUUUCUUCCUCUCCCGUGGGAUUCCCCCAACACCCCCUCCCCUCCUGCCAUUCCUUCCCCCACCAGGCCCCAUGCCUCCCCUCCCCAGUGCCCCCUACCCCCAGGUCUUCCCUCUAGGACAUCAGCCUGGGCUGUGGGUCUUGGUCUCCCACAGAGACUGAGUCCUGGGAGAAGGGCAGAGCCUUGGUUCCCAGUGCAGCCCCUGUGCCAGCCUGCAGUGGGCGCUGGUUCAGCCGGUGCACACUGGGUCCUGCCCCCACCUGAGGAGCGGCCUGGGGCCUGGUCAGCCCUGCUGGUGUCUGGCCUGCAGCCAGCACCGGCUCUGCUAUUCACACUUGGUUACAGCACUGCUGAGCUGGACUAAAAUGCCCAACAAGGAACUUUACUAAAAACUGAGGCAAGAAAGAAAACACACAUGACAUAAAAAUAGUCAAGGGCACAUU